This 163-nucleotide ribosomal RNA is filed under the name uncultured bacterium. RNAcentral describes it as "partial 16S rRNA". It matches the Rfam family "Bacterial small subunit ribosomal RNA", at positions 355 to 510 of the family's 1533-position model. The record is from RNAcentral.
UAGGGAAUCUUCGGCAAUGGACGAAAGUCUGACCGAGCAACGCCGCGUGAGUGAAGAAGGUUUUCGGAUCGUAAAACUCUGUUGGUAGAGAAGAACGUUGGUGAGAGUGGAAAGCUCAUCAAGUGACGGUAACUACCCAGAAAGGGCGGCUAACUACGUGCCA